Molecule: ribosomal RNA, 253 nt
Filed under: uncultured bacterium
Lineage: Bacteria
Description: partial 16S ribosomal RNA
Rfam family: Bacterial small subunit ribosomal RNA
Source: RNAcentral
UACGGAGGGUGCAAGCGUUAUCCGGAUUCACUGGGUUUAAAGGGUGCGUAGGUGGGCUAGUAAGUCCGUGGUGAAAUCUCUGAGCUUAACUCGGAAACUGCCGUGGAUACUAUUAGUCUUGAAUCUCGUGGAGGUAAGCGGAAUAUGUCAUGUAGCGGUGAAAUGCUUAGAUAUGACAUAGAACACCAAUUGCGAAGGCAGCUGGCUACACAAAUAUUGACACUGAGGCACGAAAGCGUGGGGAUCAAACAGG